GACGAACGCUGGCGGCGUGCCUAAUACAUGCAAGUAGAACGCUGAAGAGAGGAGCUUGCUCUUCUUGGAUGAGUUGCGAACGGGUGAGUAACGCGUAGGUAACCUGCCUGGUAGCGGGGGAUAACUAUUGGAAACGAUAGCUAAUACCGCAUAAAAUUGAUUAUUGCAUGAUAAUUAAUUGAAAGAUGCAAUUGCAUCACUACCAGAUGGACCUGCGUUGUAUUAGCUAGUUGGUGAGGUAACGGCUCACCAAGGCGACGAUACAUAGCCGACCUGAGAGGGUGAUCGGCCACACUGGGACUGAGACACGGCCCAAACUCCUACGGGAGGCAGCAGUAGGGAAUCUUCGGCAAUGGGGGGAACCCUGACCGAGCAACGCCGCGUGAGUGAAGAAGGUUUUCGGAUCGUAAAGCUCUGUUGUAAGAGAAGAACGGGUGUGAGAGUGGAAAGUUCACACUGUGACGGUAUCUUACCAGAAAGGGACGGCUAACUACGUGCCAGCAGCCGCGGUAAUACGUAGGUCCCGAGCGUUGUCCGGAUUUAUUGGGCGUAAAGCGAGCGCAGGCGGUUAGAUAAGUCUGAAGUUAAAGGCUGUGGCUUAACCAUAGUAUGCUUUGGAAACUGUUUAACUUGAGUGCAGAAGGGGAGAGUGGAAUUCCAUGUGUAGCGGUGAAAUGCGUAGAUAUAUGGAGGAACACCGGUGGCGAAAGCGGCUCUCUGGUCUGUAACUGACGCUGAGGCUCGAAAGCGUGGGGAGCAAACAGGAUUAGAUACCCUGGUAGUCCACGCCGUAAACGAUGAGUGCUAGGUGUUAGGCCCUUUCCGGGGCUUAGUGCCGCAGCUAACGCAUUAAGCACUCCGCCUGGGGAGUACGACCGCAAGGUUGAAACUCAAAGGAAUUGACGGGGGCCCGCACAAGCGGUGGAGCAUGUGGUUUAAUUCGAAGCAACGCGAAGAACCUUACCAGGUCUUGACAUCCCUCUGACCGCUCUAGAGAUAGAGUUUUCCUUCGGGACAGAGGUGACAGGUGGUGCAUGGUUGUCGUCAGCUCGUGUCGUGAGAUGUUGGGUUAAGUCCCGCAACGAGCGCAACCCCUAUUGUUAGUUGCCAUCAUUCAGUUGGGCACUCUAGCGAGACUGCCGGUAAUAAACCGGAGGAAGGUGGGGAUGACGUCAAAUCAUCAUGCCCCUUAUGACCUGGGCUGCACACGUGCUACAAUGGCUGGUACAACGAGUCGCAAGCCGGUGACGGCAAGCUAAUCUCUGAAAGCCAGUCUCAGUUCGGAUUGUAGGCUGCAACUCGCCUACAUGAAGUCGGAAUCGCUAGUAAUCGCGGAUCAGCACGCCGCGGUGAAUACGUUCCCGGGCCU
This 1369-nucleotide ribosomal RNA is filed under the name uncultured bacterium. RNAcentral's name for it is "bacterial SSU rRNA". It matches the Rfam family "Bacterial small subunit ribosomal RNA", at positions 28 to 1381 of the family's 1533-position model. The record is from RNAcentral.